This is a long non-coding RNA of Equus caballus (horse), 2374 nucleotides long. Lineage: Eukaryota; Metazoa; Chordata; Mammalia; Perissodactyla; Equidae. The record is from Ensembl.
GUAGGAUGCCCCCAAGAACGUUCUGUAUUCAUAGGCCCACUAUGAUUAUUACCCAGGAAGGCAGGAUGACGCGAAUGAACGCAUGAAUAGGUGAACAAAUGAAUGAACGGCACCCCAGCGGCAUCAUCCCCUGGUCCCCUGGGUGGCUCCAGGAUCCCUGCGGGGGGCACCUGUGUAGGUCCCCCACAGGCACGCCUAGGAGGCCUGACCGGCCCUCGGCAGUUCUCAGGCUGUAUCAGGCCUCCCACCCCCAGAAUGGACGCUCCCAGCUUUCAUAACCCUCCGGCCGGGGAGCUCACUACCUCAGAGACAGCCUGCUCUGCUGCUGAGCAUCUUGUAUGAGGAGGUCCUGCCAGCCUUUGAGCCACAAUCUGCCUUCUGGACUCCCGGACAUUUCCACUCCAUGCCUGCAGUCCUGCCUCCUGGCAGGUGCACUCCGCUCAGGCCCCACCCCAUCCCCCCCCCAAGAGAUCUGGGGAUCAUGCGAACAUCUCCCACCCCGAGGUGAUUCCCAGGCUAGACCACCAUGCAGCAGAAGGCCUCCAGCCCUUCCACUCAAGACGACCCAGCUGGCUUCUAGCCGGUCAUUGCCUCAUGCAGAGGGCAGGACGGUCCCCAAAGGCCCCAGAGCAGGAGCUGAGGACACAGUUCAUAAACUCAGGCCGUCUCCUCAGUGCAGCCUUGCUGACCACCCCGCGGGGGCACCCCUCCGACUCGGCCGUGUCUGGUUCCAUCGUGGCCACGAAGACGACGUGCCCAUCUGUAGGCUUAUUGGUGUCUGUGCUCGUUCUCAUUGCCUGGCCCCUCGGGGACAGGGACUAGCUCUUCUUGUCCCCUCGGCGGGCUGGUGGAUGCCCUGCGGAGGGAUCCAAAGCUGGGCCCCUGUGGCCUCAUCCUCCCCCCUUCCCCGGGCCUGGCCACCUUGUGAGAAGAGGGACAUUUGUUUCUCUGGGGAAAAGGCCCCUCGGGGUGACAUCUGCCACCAGAGCUGGUGCAGGGGAGAAAGAGAGGAAAGAGGGAGGCCAGGCAGGUGUGGGCUCCGGCUGGAUGGCAGAGACAUGGACAUGCCUCGGGGGGCCACGAUGCUGCCAGGAGGCCCCCCCCCCCGGGAGUCAAGAACAAAGGAUUCUGGGGAACGGCUUAUGCAGGGCGUUGCCCCCCACUCCCCCCAGACAUCAGCCUUUCAAGUGGAAGUUGAAAGGGCCACUGGCCCGUGGGCUGAGGCGGCGUGGAGGAAAUGGGCUGGGGACGGAAAUGACACGGCCGUGCAGGAAUGCUGCACUAGGCUGACACCCCGGCCAGGCCCUCUGGCCAGCACUGAGGGCGCCCUGGGCACCCCGAGCUGGGAGGCGUCAGCCAGCAGCAUGGGGGCCCAAUCGAGCUGCCCCUGACAAUGGAGGGGAAGACGGCCAGGCCUGACAACCCCCCUCACUGUUCCACCCGGGGGCCCUGCCUGGGACAUUGCAGGCCUGCUCAGUGCCUAGACCCCGGGGGUCCAGGGCCCUGUGAGUUCGGAGGACUGGCCAGACCGGGCCGCCUCGCUCCCACCUCCAGUGUCAGGUCCUUCUUAGUGACGAUGCGGACGCCCCUCGUCGUCUUCAUCCUCACGCGCUGGGGACUUCCCGUGUGCUAAGUGGGCUGCGUGCCCAGCCCCAUCAUACCCCAGGCCGACUACACGAUGGACUUACUGAAAAUCCCCAUGUAACAGAUGAGGAAACUGAGGCCCCGAGAAGCCCGACAACUUGCCCAAGACCAAGUCCCUGUCCCCUUGCUCCCCCUGUCCUCUCCUCUGCCCCCUGCUUCUCCCCCUCCGUCCUUUAUUAGACAAUUUGUUAUUAAGCGCCCGCCAUGCGCAGGCAUGAGCCAGGUGUUGGGGACAUCAAGAUGACCGAGACCCCCCUGGGCCUCUCCUCCCAAUGACAGGCAGGUGGGGAGAGUGGGGGCGACUGUGCCAUCCACCUGUAGAUCCUAGACCAGCAGAGGCUCUCGAACGAUCCAGACAGUGCUGGGCACCUUGUGUGGCCCUCCUGACCAAUUCAGCCUUUUUCUCCCCAUUUUUGGAGAAUAAAGAAGAAUGUAUCUGAGGUCUUGCAGCUCGCCUGUGACAGAGCUGGGAUCUGAACUCAGGCUCCGACGGCCCCGGUUUCCCGUGGUGUCACACUAUUGCACCUGUUCUCCUUUUCACUUUGGCUGCCAGGGAGCUCAGCAAAGAACUUUAGGCUUGCUCUCAGGCCUCCACAUUAGGCAGGGUUUGGGACAUUUUUGUCACCCCCUCCUUGGCUCUCUUUAUCCUCCCUGCUGGGCCUCCCAUGGAGCAGGCUGGACAUAAGUGAUCAACUAUAAAUAAAACCAAGACUUCCGGUCUGGCUGUCGC